UACGAAGGGGGCGAGCGUUGUUCGGAUUUACUGGGCGUAAAGGGCGCGCAGGCGGUUCUGUUUGUCGAGUGUGAAAGCCCCGGGCUCAACCUGGGAACUGCGCUCGAAACGGCGGAACUAGAGUUCGGGAGAGGAGAGUGGAAUUCCCAGUGUAGAGGUGAAAUUCGUAGAUAUUAGGAAGAACACCAGUGGCGAAGGCGGCUCACUGGCCCGGUACUGACGCUGAGGCGCGAAAGCGUGGGGAGCAAACAGG
RNAcentral lists this ribosomal RNA (253 nucleotides) under uncultured bacterium. Its description in RNAcentral is "partial 16S ribosomal RNA". It matches the Rfam family "Bacterial small subunit ribosomal RNA", at positions 524 to 776 of the family's 1533-position model. The record is from RNAcentral.